CGAACGGGUGAGUAACACGUGGGUGACCUGCCCCGACGAUUGGGACAACCCGAGGAAACUCGGGCUAAUACCAAAUGUGCUCACGGCUCUAGGGGCCGUGAGGAAAGGAAGCUUCGGCCUCCGCAUCGGGAUGGGCCCGCGGCCCAUUAGCUUGUUGGUGGGGUAACGGCCUACCAAGGCUUCGAUGGGUAGCUGGUCUGAGAGGACGAUCAGCCACACUGGGACUGAGACACGGCCCAG
RNAcentral lists this ribosomal RNA (240 nucleotides) under uncultured bacterium. Its description in RNAcentral is "partial 16S ribosomal RNA". It matches the Rfam family "Bacterial small subunit ribosomal RNA", at positions 99 to 334 of the family's 1533-position model. The record is from RNAcentral.